GCUCAUGAUGAACGCUAGCUACAGGCUUAACACAUGCAAGUCGAGGGGCAGCAUGGUCUUAGCUUGCUAAGGCCGAUGGCGACCGGCGCACGGGUGAGUAACACGUAUCCAACCUGCCGUCUACUCUUGGACAGCCUUCUGAAAGGAAGAUUAAUACAAGAUGGCAUCAUGAGUCCGCAUGUUCACAUGAUUAAAGGUAUUCCGGUAGACGAUGGGGAUGCGUUCCAUUAGAUAGUAGGCGGGGUAACGGCCCACCUAGUCUUCGAUGGAUAGGGGUUCUGAGAGGAAGGUCCCCCACAUUGGAACUGAGACACGGUCCAAACUCCUACGGGAGGCAGCAGUGAGGAAUAUUGGUCAAUGGGCGAGAGCCUGAACCAGCCAAGUAGCGUGAAGGAUGACUGCCCUAUGGGUUGUAAACUUCUUUUAUAAAGGAAUAAAGUCGGGUAUGGAUACCCGUUUGCAUGUACUUUAUGAAUAAGGAUCGGCUAACUCCGUGCCAGCAGCCGCGGUAAUACGGAGGAUCCGAGCGUUAUCCGGAUUUAUUGGGUUUAAAGGGAGCGUAGAUGGAUGUUUAAGUCAGUUGUGAAAGUUUGCGGCUCAACCGUAAAAUUGCAGUUGAUACUGGAUAUCUUGAGUGCAGUUGAGGCAGGCGGAAUUCGUGGUGUAGCGGUGAAAUGCUUAGAUAUCACGAAGAACUCCGAUUGCGAAGGCAGCCUGCUAAGCUGCAACUGACAUUGAGGCUCGAAAGUGUGGGUAUCAAACAGGAUUAGGUACCCUGGUAGUCCACACGGUAAACGAUGAAUACUCGCUGUUUGCGAUAUACUGCAAGCGGCCAAGCGAAAGCGUUAAGUAUUCCACCUGGGGAGUACGCCGGCAACGGUGAAACUCAAAGGAAUUGACGGGGGCCCGCACAAGCGGAGGAACAUGUGGUUUAAUUCGAUGAUACGCGAGGAACCUUACCCGGGCUUAAAUUGCAGAUGAAUUACGGUGAAAGCCGUAAGCCGCAAGGCAUCUGUGAAGGUGCUGCAUGGUUGUCGUCAGCUCGUGCCGUGAGGUGUCGGCUUAAGUGCCAUAACGAGCGCAACCCUUGUUGUCAGUUACUAACAGGUUCCGCUGAGGACUCUGACAAGACUGCCAUCGUAAGAUGUGAGGAAGGUGGGGAUGACGUCAAAUCAGCACGGCCCUUACGUCCGGGGCUACACACGUGUUACAAUGGGGGGUACAGAGGGCCGCUACCACGCGAGUGGAUGCCAAUCCCCAAAACCUCUCUCAGUUCGGACUGGAGUCUGCAACCCGACUCCACGAAGCUGGAUUCGCUAGUAAUCGCGCAUCAGCCACGGCGCGGUGAAUACGUUCCCGGGCCUUGUACACACCGCCCGUCAAGCCAUGGGAGCCGGGGGUACCUGAAGUGCGUAACCGCGAGGAG
RNAcentral lists this ribosomal RNA (1426 nucleotides) under uncultured bacterium. RNAcentral's name for it is "16S ribosomal RNA". It matches the Rfam family "Bacterial small subunit ribosomal RNA". The record is from RNAcentral.